CAAGGAAUUUUGUGCAAUGGGGGAAACCCUGAUGCAGCGAUGCCGCGUGAGUGAAGAAGGCCUUUGGGUUGUAAAGCUCUUUCGUCGGGGAAGAAAAUGACUGUACCCGAAUAAGAAGGUCCGGCUAACUUCGUGCCAGCAGCCGCGGUAAUACGAAGGGACCUAGCGUAGUUCGGAAUUACUGGGCUUAAAGAGUUCGUAGGUGGUUAAAAUAGUUGGUGGUGAAAUCCCAGAGCUUAACUCUGGAACUGCCAUCAAAACUUUUUAGCUAGAGUAUGAUAGAGGAAAGUAGAAUUUCUAGUGUAGAGGUGAAAUUCGUAGAUAUUAGAAAGAAUACCAAUUGCGAAGGCAGCUUUCUGGGUCAUUACUGACACUGAGGAACGAAAGCAUGGGUAGCGAAGAGG
RNAcentral lists this ribosomal RNA (404 nucleotides) under uncultured bacterium. RNAcentral describes it as "bacterial SSU rRNA". It matches the Rfam family "Bacterial small subunit ribosomal RNA", at positions 355 to 776 of the family's 1533-position model. The record is from RNAcentral.